RNAcentral lists this ribosomal RNA (255 nucleotides) under uncultured bacterium. Its description in RNAcentral is "partial 16S ribosomal RNA". It matches the Rfam family "Bacterial small subunit ribosomal RNA", at positions 524 to 776 of the family's 1533-position model. The record is from RNAcentral.
UACGUAGGGUGCAAGCGUUAAUCGGAAUUACUGGGCGUAAAGCGUGCGCAGGCGGUUUUGUAAGUCUGUCGUGAAAUCCCCGGGCUCAACCUGGGAAUUGCGAUGGAGACUGCAAGGCUAGAAUCUGGCAGAGGGGGUAGAAUUCCACGUGUGAGCAGUGAAAUGCGUAGAGAUGUGGAGGAACACCGAUGGCGGAAGGCAGCCCCUGGGUCAAGAUUGACGCUCCAUGACACGAAAGGCGUGGGAGCAAACAGG